UGCAUAUAGAAAUAUAGAUUGAUGAUAUAGAAAUCUAAGAAACUAUGAACUUAUAUAUUUGACAAUUUAAUGAUAUGAGCAUGUGGAUUAGGAGAUUUGAAGUGUUGGUAUUUGGGAGUUUUGUGAUCUGAACGUCUACUGAUGACAAUCCACAAGUUGACGUGAGAAGAGUUUCAUCCAUGUGCUCAGAAGAGCUACUCUAAAUGGUCAGAAUAGAAAAAUGGAUGCCUCAGACGUCUUUUCAGCUGCACUAUUGGCUCAAGCAGUCACACACCAAUUAGGUCAAAAACAAUGGCAGUCGACGACUGUCCUGAGGAUCAAAAACUUUCAAAACCGUCUCCUAAGAUUCUUUUGAGGAGUUUUGUGAUCUGGACACCUGAUGACAACCCACAAGAUAGCUCGUGAAGAGCCUCAGCCAGGUGUUUAGAAGAGUUACGACUCUAAUUGAUCAAAAUACAAAAUUGAACUUCAUAUGUAUUGAACUUCACAUAUGCUUCACACGUAUAUUGGCUCAAGUCAAUAUGCUUUGAGUCGAUCACGCACCAACUCGUGACAUCUGCAGGAACCUAACAAUCGAGAAACGCGGCAAUAUGCUAAAAAUUGAUUCUCUCGCAACCGUAAAAGUUAACGAGGCCAUACUCGUUCGUAAGAAGGCAAACGCGUCGUAGAAGAAUCCGGAAUCCGGUAGAACGGAAAUGCAUCGAUUAUCGCCUCCGCUGCGCUGAUCUAACCGUAUAUCGUAGCCCUUUAGUGGAACAGCUUUGCCUUGUUUUGAAGUUUCCUAGUUUCCCCACUUUUUUUUCCUCUUCCCGCUUUUGUCGCUAGCACGGUCUAUUGACUCGUCUAUCCGUACCACUGUUUUUCUAUCCAUAUAGCUACCGCUCUUUUCCCGUUCUCCUUUUCUCCCUUUUAUAUCCCACUGUUCGCCAACUCGACGCCAUUUGACACGACGAUCGCGAACCAUUU
Molecule: long non-coding RNA, 966 nt
Organism: Megachile rotundata (alfalfa leafcutting bee)
Lineage: Eukaryota; Metazoa; Arthropoda; Insecta; Hymenoptera; Megachilidae
Source: RefSeq, a predicted model, not a curated record